AUGAAAAGUGAAAUAUUUUUGAUUCGUGCUGAUGAUACUACUAUGCAAAACUAUGCUGAGAUGUUUAACUGCCAGAUAGGUAACUUUCCUAUCAAAUACCUAGGCAUGCCUGUGAGUUAUGCUGGCUUGAAAUGCAGUGACUGGAUCUUUGUUGAUGACAAGUUCAUUGAUCACUGCGAAAACUGGAUUAGUGAAAUCCUA
RNAcentral lists this ribosomal RNA (201 nucleotides) under Triticum aestivum (bread wheat). Its description in RNAcentral is "partial small subunit ribosomal RNA". The record is from RNAcentral. Lineage: Eukaryota; Viridiplantae; Streptophyta; Magnoliopsida; Poales; Poaceae.